CCUACGGGGCGCAGCAGUGGGGGAUAUUGCACAAUGGGGGGAACCCUGAUGCAGCGACGCCGCGUGGGUGAAGAAGCGUUUCGGCGCGUAAAGCCCUGUCAGCAGGGAAGAAGAUGACGGUACCUGACCAAGAAGCCCCGGCUAACUACGUGCCAGCAGCCGCGGUAAUACGUAGGGGGCAAGCGUUAUCCGGAUUUACUGGGUGUAGAGGGGGCGCAGACGGCGAUGCAAGCCAGGAGUGAAAGCCCGGGGCCCAACCCCGGGAGUGUUCUUGGAUCUGGGUGGC
This 286-nucleotide ribosomal RNA is filed under the name uncultured bacterium. RNAcentral describes it as "partial 16S ribosomal RNA". It matches the Rfam family "Bacterial small subunit ribosomal RNA", at positions 338 to 641 of the family's 1533-position model. The record is from RNAcentral.